UGAAUACAAUGGUCCAGUCAAGGGUGAGGAUAUACCAUUGCAACUCAGAUCUGCUCUUUACCUUUUAGCGAACUCUAGCACAGGACAAACAAACAGUUGGUCUCCCAUCAGACUUCCCAGCGAGUCACGAUUCUUCAUUCUGUUAUUCUCAU
Etheostoma cragini (Arkansas darter) is the source of this 152-nucleotide long non-coding RNA. RefSeq lists it as uncharacterized. NCBI's taxonomy places the organism in Eukaryota, Metazoa, Chordata, Actinopteri, Perciformes, Percidae. The transcript has 3 exons. The record is from RefSeq and is a predicted model, not a curated record.